UGCAGGAUUAACAUCUGUCCUACUCUUGCCC
RNAcentral lists this non-coding RNA (31 nucleotides) under Mus musculus (house mouse). Lineage: Eukaryota; Metazoa; Chordata; Mammalia; Rodentia; Muridae. The record is from RNAcentral.